AAAUAGAUACCCCGGUAGUCCACGCCGUAAACGGUGGGCACUAGGUGUGGGCGACAUUCCACGUCGUCCGUGCCGCAGCUAACGCAUUAAGUGCCCCGCCUGGGGAGUACGGCCGCAAGGCUAAAACUCAAAGGAAUUGACGGGGGCCCGUACAAGCGGCGGAGCAUGUGGCUUAAUUCGACGCAACGCGAAGAACCUUACCAAGGCUUGACAUACACCGGAAACGUCCAGAGAUGGGCGCCCCCUUGUGGUCGGUGUACAGGUGGUGCAUGGCUGUCGUCAGCUCGUGUCGUGAGAUGUUGGGUUAAGUCCCGCAACGAGCGCAACCCUUGUCCCGUGUUGCCAGCAGGCCCUUGUGGUGCUGGGGACUCACGGGAGACCGCCGGGGUCAACUCGGAGGAAGGUGGGGACGACGUCAAGUCAUCAUGCCCCUUAUGUCUUGGGCUGCACACGUGCUACAAUGGCCGGUACAAUGAGCUGCGAUACCGCGAGGUGGAGCGAAUCUCAAAAAGCCGGUCUCAGUUCGGAUUGGGGU
This 535-nucleotide ribosomal RNA is filed under the name uncultured bacterium. RNAcentral's name for it is "bacterial SSU rRNA". It matches the Rfam family "Bacterial small subunit ribosomal RNA", at positions 776 to 1304 of the family's 1533-position model. The record is from RNAcentral.